CUUGACUGUAGCUUGGAAUUGGGUUCGGGCUCUUCUUGCGCAGCCUAGGUGGGAGGCGUUGAAAGCUUUCUUUUGGGGAAGCUGGAGCCAUCAGUGAGAGACCACUCCGGAGGAGCUAGAAUUCUAAUGGCGUUCCUUGAAGCAGGACGCUUGACAGUUUCAGGUGGGCAGUUUGACUGGGGCGGUCACCUCCUAAAAGGUAACGGAGGUGUGCAGAGGUUCCCUCAGGCUGGACGGAAAUCAGCCGUAGAGUGUAAAGGCAGAAGGGAGCUUGACUGCAAGACCUACAAGUCGAGCAGGGGCGAAAGCCGGCCUUAGUGAUCCGACGGUUCCAUGUGGAAGGGCCGUCGCUCAACGGAUAAAAGUUA
Molecule: ribosomal RNA, 368 nt
Filed under: uncultured organism
Description: bacterial LSU rRNA
Rfam family: Bacterial large subunit ribosomal RNA
Source: RNAcentral